Molecule: ribosomal RNA, 538 nt
Filed under: bacterium enrichment culture clone OB85
Lineage: Bacteria
Description: partial 16S ribosomal RNA
Rfam family: Bacterial small subunit ribosomal RNA
Source: RNAcentral
AAUNUNGNACAAUGGGCGCAAGCCUGAUCCAGCCAUNCCGCGUGAGUGAUGAAGNCNUUAGGGUNGUAAAGCUCUUUCGCCAGAGAUGAUAAUGACAGUAUCUGGUAAAGAAACCCCGNCUAACUCCGUGCCAGCAGCCGCGGUAAUACGGAGGGGGUUAGCGUUGUUCGGAAUUACUGGGCGUAAAGCGCGCGUAGGCGGACUAGUCAGUCAGGGGUGAAAUCCCGGGGCUCAACCCCGGAACUGCCUUUGAUACUGCUAGUCUAGAGUUCGGGAGAGGUGAGUGGAAUUCCGAGUGUAGAGGUGAAAUUCGUAGAUAUUCGGAGGAACACCAGUGGCGAAGGCGGCUCACUGGCUCGAUACUGACGCUGAGGUGCGAAAGUGUGGGGAGCAAACAGGAUUAGAUACCCUGGUAGUCCACACCGUAAACGAUGAAUGCCAGUCGUCGGGUAGCAUGNNANNNNGUGACACACCUAACGGAUUAAGCAUUCCGCCUGGGNNNNNNGGUCGCAAGAUUAAAACUCAAAGGAAUUGACGG